This 638-nucleotide ribosomal RNA is filed under the name uncultured bacterium. RNAcentral describes it as "bacterial SSU rRNA". It matches the Rfam family "Bacterial small subunit ribosomal RNA", at positions 76 to 710 of the family's 1533-position model. The record is from RNAcentral.
UUGCUUUCUUUGCUGACGAGCGGCGGACGGGUGAGUAAUGCCUGGGAAAUUGCCCUGAUGUGGGGGAUAACCAUUGGAAACGAUGGCUAAUACCGCAUGAUGCCUACGGGCCAAAGAGGGGGACCUUCGGGCCUCUCGCGUCAGGAUAUGCCCAGGUGGGAUUAGCUAGUUGGUGAGGUAAUGGCUCACCAAGGCGACGAUCCCUAGCUGGUCUGAGAGGAUGAUCAGCCACACUGGAACUGAGACACKGUCCAGACUCCUACGGGAGGCAGCAGUGGGGAAUAUUGCACAAUGGGCGCAAGCCUGAUGCAGCCAUGCCGCGUGUAUGAAGAAGGCCUUCGGGUUGUAAAGUACUUUCAGUGGUGAGGAAGGGAGUGUGGUUAAUAGCCAUAUUCUUUGACGUUAGCCACAGAAGAAGCACCGGCUAACUCCGUGCCAGCAGCCGCGGUAAUACGGAGGGUGCGAGCGUUAAUCGGAAUUACUGGGCGUAAAGCGCAUGCAGGUGGUUUGUUAAGUCAGAUGUGAAAGCCCGGGGCUCAACCUCGGAGUUGCAUUUGAAACUGGCAGGCUAGAGUACUGUAGAGGGGGGUAGAAUUUCAGGUGUAGCGGUGAAAUGCGUAGAGAUCGGAAGGAACACC